This 1299-nucleotide long non-coding RNA is filed under the name Numida meleagris (helmeted guineafowl). RNAcentral describes it as "lncRNA (ENSNMEG00000005532.1)". Lineage: Eukaryota; Metazoa; Chordata; Aves; Galliformes; Numididae. The record is from RNAcentral.
UCAGAGCAGCCUUCAUACAAGCAGCAAGGUGACAGGCUCUUUCCUGGUGGAUUCUGCCACAGCCUUUUAGUUUUUGAGUGUUUCUGGCUAAAAGCAUUCAUUCUAUGUUUGGAAUUGUCACAUUCUCAGUGACUGCUUUUUAAAAGAGAUUUAAAACAGAUUUUUUGUUGCUCUGUUUUCUUACUGAGUGAUGUUCGUCUGCUGAAGUACAAAUCUGUCAUUCUGUGGUAUAAAAAUAGCUUUUCUAAGGUUUUUUCUUUCUUUCUUUCUUUUGUUUUUUAGAUAAAUUCUCUUUUUGUUAACCAUUACCUUGCACACGAGAGCAACACUUCCUGAUUUGUUCUGCUCUAAGCAGUUCCAUAUACCCGUGGGACUGCAAGCAUGAAUAGGUGCUAUUUGGCAUGCAUGUGCAGUGCUGAUUAGGCCCAUAAAUAACCACUGGAAAAUUACUAUUAAUGGUACCUUGAUAGUUUUAUUUCUGUUUGUGCUCAGGAGUCAUUACAACACAUUGACUUCUGUGUAGAAGAGGUGGCUGAGCUGCUGUUGUAUGUUGUGAGAUGGUGGUUCUUCCUACUCAAAAAGAUAAGAAAGUAAAAACUUGGUUCUAAGAUUUCAGUAAUUUCUUUCUGUUAUCAAGAAAAAUGUAUUUCCCAUGUAGCCUGGGGAGUUGCACAUUUCUGCAGUUUGGCUCUGAGAAGGUAAGAAAUUGCCCCUUUUUGCAGCAUUUUUAAAAUAUAUUUUGUCUACAUUUAAUUGUUCUCUAGGUAGGGGUGCCACUUGUGAAAGGUGCGCUGUCCUCAUUUUGUUUCUCAGUUGCAGAGUUUGAAAUAAAAAUCUGAGAUUACAGCUGGACCUAUGAACUCUUCACAGUUUGAACAGAGACAUUUCCACGAUCUGUUGUGGAUGCCUGCACUGCAAACUAUUUGGAGGGAGAAGAGAAUCAGAAUUUGCCAUUACCUUCAGCACAAGUUACAUCAGCCCCAUUAAGCCUUCAGUGAGAAUAUUUAAGUCUCCUGCGUACGACUUUGUAAUCAUGACUCUGCACUCCUAGGACUGGCUUGAUUAAGAGCUGUGAGCACCGUUACGGCACUAUCAGCAGCUGUGCAGGCUUCCUAACCCUGCUGCCUGUAAACAUGUCAGCUCGGUGAGAGAAAAAUUCAUGGAGCCAGCAUAGCUGCCAUUCAGGCCGUGUGUCCCCAACCAGAUAGUUUCUAAUUUUCAGAGAAAGAUAUCACUCUGGAAUUAGGGAUUUGAAGAAUGACAAAUAAAGAGCUUUCUGAAUCUACUGCUUGAAGAAGU